GCUCUUCUAGUAUACUAAUUACAAUUGACUUCCAAUCUAUAGAAUCUGGCGUAAAUCCAGAGAAGGGCA
This 69-nucleotide transfer RNA is filed under the name Aegolius funereus (boreal owl). Its description in RNAcentral is "tRNA-Gly". The record is from RNAcentral. Lineage: Eukaryota; Metazoa; Chordata; Aves; Strigiformes; Strigidae.